RNAcentral lists this ribosomal RNA (253 nucleotides) under uncultured bacterium. RNAcentral's name for it is "partial 16S ribosomal RNA". It matches the Rfam family "Bacterial small subunit ribosomal RNA", at positions 524 to 776 of the family's 1533-position model. The record is from RNAcentral.
UACGUAGGGUGCAAGCGUUGUCCGGAAUUAUUGGGCGUAAAGAGCUCGUAGGCGGUCUGUCGCGUCUGCUGUGAAAACUCAGGGCUUAACCCUGAGCUUGCAGUGGGUACGGGCAGACUAGAGUGCGGUAGGGGAGACUGGAAUUCCUGGUGUAGCGGUGAAAUGCGCAGAUAUCAGGAGGAACACCGGUGGCGAAGGCGGGUCUCUGGUACGUGACUGACGCUGAGACGCGAAAGCGUGGGGAGCGAACAGG